This 434-nucleotide ribosomal RNA is filed under the name uncultured bacterium. RNAcentral describes it as "partial 16S ribosomal RNA". It matches the Rfam family "Bacterial small subunit ribosomal RNA", at positions 341 to 792 of the family's 1533-position model. The record is from RNAcentral.
ACGGGAGGCAGCAGUGGGGAAUAUUGCACAAUGGGGGAAACCCUGAUGCAGCGACGCCGCGUGAGUGAAGAAGUAUUUCGGUAUGUAAAGCUCUAUCAGCAGGAAAGAAAAUGACGGUACCUGACUAAGAAGCCCCGGCUAACUUCGUGCCAGCAGCCGCGGUAAUACGAAGGGUGCAAGCGUUGUUCGGAAUUACUGGGCGUAAAGGGCGUGUAGGCGGACAAAUUAGUCAGGAGUGAAAUCCCGGGGCUCAACCCCGGAACUGCUUUUGAAACGGUUUGUCUCGAGUAUGACAGGGGAUGAUGGAAUACCCAGUGUAGAGGUGAAAUUCGUAGAUAUUGGGUAGAACACCAGAGGCGAAGGCGGUCAUCUGGGUCAUUACUGACGCUGAGGCGCGAAAGCGUGGGGAUCAAACAGGAUUAGAUACCCUGGUA